Molecule: long non-coding RNA, 556 nt
Organism: Pseudoliparis swirei
Lineage: Eukaryota; Metazoa; Chordata; Actinopteri; Perciformes; Liparidae
Exons: 3
Source: RefSeq, a predicted model, not a curated record
UGGUGUUUUGAGCCCUCACCGGCGCCUUCCAGGCAGCCGCUGCCUGGAAGGCGCCGGAAGGUGGUCCCGCCCCCCAAAACUCUGAUCCAAUCAAUGCGCUACCCCCACUUGGAGCGGAGCGCAUAUUCAAAUCCACUUUUUGGAGCGCAUUGCAUAUUCAAACCCGCGCAUUUGGAGCCAAACCCACUUGGAGCGCAUUUGGAGCGCAUUUAACCCACUUGGUUCAACAAUUUCAAAGGCGAAGCCAAGGACCUGUGCUCCUCCGUCGGUGCUCUGGCUGCCAGGAGCAUCGAAUUUAAAGAAGUGGCCAUGCUGCGGCAUCAGACCCCACUGUGGCCACAGGGAGAGCCACGGAGUUCAAACAACAGCUCCAGCACCUCGCCAACCAGGUGAGGUCAAAUGAGCAAUUUGACCUCCUCACGCACACCUUGGGGCCAGGAAUGGUAGAGGUGGUGGUGGAUAUUUUUUAAAAGUGUGUUGACACACACAUUGAAAAUAUUAACAAUUAGCAAUUUGUUGUUUGUUGUGUUCAUUAAUUAAAUAUCUUCAUGUUCUA